GACCUGGUGCCUAAUGGAGCUAUUGUGUGAUCUCCAUAGUUAACCAUCAUGGCCUGAUGUUCAGGUGUUCCUUUCUGUUCUUCCAGUUCUCUCUGAAUGCAUUCCCUCUUCCACAUGUUCCACUCUAAGCACAACAUCCUCAAUGUGUCACACACACACACACAGUGAGAAUCAAUCCAUCUGGUAACAAUACUCUUUCAUUCAUCUCAUUUAUUCUCUAAAGAUGAUGUCCCUUUUGAUGUCAUCUGUAGUUCAUGGCUUUUAGAUUGGCAUCUUCUUUAAAACACAAAUAAUUGUAUUACUCAAAUCAAUGCAUUUGUAUAGAGACAUACUCCUAUGCAUACAUACAGAUAUAAAUAUAUAUUGACAUAUUUUUUUAUCUAAUUUUUUUUAAAUAUUUUAUUUGUUGUCAGAUUGUUAUUUGUGUCAAAACUUGGUAGAUAAAGUGUUGCCAUGAAAAUAAACAUGCCUCCCCCAACUAGACACACUGUUGUCUGGAAUAUAGUGCACUCCCUUAAUAAUUUGUUUCAGUUAUGUAAUGUGAGUCAAUUAGGAUUUGAACUAACUUCAACAUAAGAUGGACUUCUCUUCCUAACCCAGUCAGGCUCCUAAACUUUCUCUCAUGUUGGCAUCUGUCUCUGAAAUGCAAUUAACUAAUGUGUGAGUGUGUGUAAAAAUAAAGAGAAAAGAGACUAACAGGAACACCUUCAAGACAGCAACUUGUUAGAGGUCAAACAUUGAACACUUUCAAGACAGCAACUUAUUAGAGGUCAAACCUCUAGACUUAUUGUUUUGCUUGUUGCAUUGAAAAUUGUUGAGUGCAUGCUAGUGUUCUAUUAGUUGAGUGUUUCUAGAAACAUGAAUUCUUUUGUUUUUUUUAAGUAGACCUUUAGUUCGUACAGUCAUUUUGCAAACAAAUCUAGAACAGGUGGUUGUUGUUUUUUUCAACCAAUAGGCUAUAAUGAUAUAAUUGCUUCAGAAUAACUUCAUCCCUAGUGCAUAGAACUUACAUAAAUCUAAGUAUACUUUAUCAUUUUACUAAAUACAUGUCUAGGCCU
Non-coding RNA from Biomphalaria pfeifferi, 1058 nucleotides. The record is from the annotation of a GenBank genome assembly. NCBI's taxonomy places the organism in Eukaryota, Metazoa, Mollusca, Gastropoda, Planorbidae.